RNAcentral lists this ribosomal RNA (696 nucleotides) under uncultured bacterium. Its description in RNAcentral is "bacterial SSU rRNA". It matches the Rfam family "Bacterial small subunit ribosomal RNA", at positions 577 to 1270 of the family's 1533-position model. The record is from RNAcentral.
GGAUAGAUAAGUUGGAAGUGAAAUCCUAUGGCUUAACCAUAGAACUGCUUCCAAAACUGUCUAUCUAGAAUAUGGGAGAGGUAGAUGGAAUUUCUGGUGUAGGGGUAAAAUCCGUAGAGAUCAGAAGGAAUACCGAUUGCGAAGGCGAUCUACUGGAACAUUAUUGACGCUCAGAUGCGAAAGCGUGGGGAGCAAACAGGAUUAGAUACCCUGGUAGUCCACGCCCUAAACGAUGCACACUAGUUGUUGCCUUGCUAGACAAGGCAGUAAUGCAGUUAACACAGUAAGUGUGCCGCCUGGGGAGUACGGUCGCAAGAUUAAAACUCAAAGGAAUAGACGGGGACCCGCACAAGCGGUGGAGCAUGUGGUUUAAUUCGACGAUACGCGAAGAACCUUACCUGGCCUUGACAUAGAGAGAACUUACUAGAGAUAGUUUGGUGCUAGCUUGCUAGAACUUUCAUACAGGUGCUGCACGGCUGUCGUCAGCUCGUGUCGUGAGAUGUUGGGUUAAGUCCCGCAACGAGCGCAACCCUCGUGUUUAGUUAAUAACGGUUCGGCCGAUGACUCUAAACAGACUGCCUGGGUAACCAGGAGGAAGGUGAGGACGACGUCAAGUCAUCAUGGCCCUUACGGCCAGGGCUACACACGUGCUACAAUGGGGUAUACAAAGAGCAGCAAUACCGCAAGGUGGAGCAA